Long non-coding RNA from Daphnia pulicaria, 832 nucleotides. RefSeq lists it as uncharacterized. NCBI's taxonomy places the organism in Eukaryota, Metazoa, Arthropoda, Branchiopoda, Diplostraca, Daphniidae. The record is from RefSeq and is a predicted model, not a curated record. The transcript is spliced from 5 exons.
UGUUUGAAGCCAACAUGUAGUGGAAUACAAGUGUGCCGUGAUAAGGUACUUUUGCUCAUGAACAUAGGAUCUUUUCCCAAUCUCGCAACUUUGUAACCUGCAGCAGCAUGUUGUUAUGACUGUUUCUACUUCUGUUCAGAAGGCAACCCAGCCGAGAAGAUCCCCAUUAAUGUAUGAGCUUGCUCCAGCCUCUCGUAUUUCUACAAAACCUAACCGUGGAGUUGUUCAGUUGAAUAUGUUAAAUUUUCGAUAAUGACUGAGAAGUUGCUGCCCAGAGGACAGAAGUAAGAAGAGACAUUGCCGUACAUCAUAGUUCGUGGAUCUUCAUUUUUGGUCAACAUUCCGGUCAACAUUUGGUCUUGUUGCGGAUGCAGUUUUGACAUACUUUCCUGCCAGAAGCCGUUCUUUAGUGUACAGUCGGAUUGGUUUAAUCCAAAAUCUUUAAAACUAUUUGUAACCUCCUUGAGAUCGCAAGUCGACGGCCAAUGUCUAUAUCUAGUAUCUUUAUGGGAUUGUAUGGUCCUGGCAUUGAGAUCCUUGAGCGUGCGCUGGCCAUGAUAGAAGACUUCCACCAACGUUCUGUUCCAUCCUUAUCCUCGCGACGUCCACUCAUCUAGCUUCAUUUCUUCUUAUGCUGCUACACUACUUUUCUUGCUUCACUGACGAGUUGGAUCCCUUCAGUAGUCGCUUCCGUCCGCUGUGACUGGUAGUCAUUCACCACGGAAUUAUGCAUUGCCCAGGUAAUGCAGAGGAAACGUCGAGAAGGUGGACACCAAGACGUCGCCGGUAUCUCCAAAAUGUCAGCGCGGAUCAUCAUUUGUUGUUGGUAAUA